UACGUAGGGCGCAAGUGUUGUCCGGAAUUACUGGGCGUAAAGAGUUCGUAGGCGGUUUGUCGCGUCGUUCGUGAAAACUUGGGGCUUAACUCCAAGCGUGCGGGCGAUACGGGCAGACUUGAGUACUACAGGGGAGACUGGAAUUCCUGGUGUAGCGGUGAAAAUGCGCAGAUAUCAGGAGGAACACCGGUGGCGAAGGCGGGACUCUGGGCCGAUACUGACGCUGAGGAGCGAAAGCGUGGGGAGCGAACAGG
This 254-nucleotide ribosomal RNA is filed under the name uncultured bacterium. RNAcentral's name for it is "partial 16S ribosomal RNA". It matches the Rfam family "Bacterial small subunit ribosomal RNA", at positions 524 to 776 of the family's 1533-position model. The record is from RNAcentral.